GAUGAAGAACGCAGUGAAUUGCGAUAAGUAAUGUGAAUUGCAGAAUUCAGUGAAUCAUCGAAUCUUUGAACGCACAUUGCGCCCGCCAGCACUCUGGCGGGCAUGCCUGUCCGAGCGUCAUUUCAACCCUCGCGCCGUCCCUCCAGGGGGCUCGGCGCGGUGUUGGGGGACACGGCCCCGGCCGCCCCCGAAAUGCAGUGGCGACCCCGCCGCGGCCCCUCCAGCGCAGUAAGCACGCUCGCUACGGGAGGCCCGGUGGACGCGUCCGCCGUAAAACGCCCAACUCUUCAGAAGUUGACCUCGGAUCAGGUAGGGAUACCCGCUGAACUUAAGCAUAUCAAUAAGCGGAGGA
This 352-nucleotide unclassified non-coding RNA is filed under the name soil metagenome. Its description in RNAcentral is "partial contains 5.8S ribosomal RNA, internal transcribed spacer 2, and large subunit ribosomal RNA". The stretch from base 1 to 120 matches the Rfam family "5.8S ribosomal RNA", at positions 35 to 154 of the family's 154-position model. The record is from RNAcentral.